AAGGAAAGCGCCGCCGCCGUGCCCUGUUAGAACUUCUGGAGCCGCGUUGGAGCUCGCUACAAAAAGAGGAUGAGGCUAGGACUAGCGCCAUUGUGCCUGAGCUAUUGCUGUCGAUUUGGAGUUGCUGCGCAAUGGGGCCACUAGGAGAGUAUUGCUGCUGCUGAACCAUGGGCUCUGCGGCCGAGACUCUGCCGCCGAAGAACACUCUUCCAGUAAGGGUUUUUAUUUGAGGUUUCUGUCCUUUUGAAUUCCGAGAAUACCGUAGUCACUGCGUGUUGGUUUCAAUUGGCGCGAUCGGAAAUUGUCGUCGCUGCCGCUUGAGGUGGCUGCCUGGCUACCGUUGAACCGGUUCAGAGACCGCCACUAUUCCGGUUCAGCUGUUCCUUCUUCAUUCGUGUUGCUGUGGUUACCGCGGGAGUGGCUUGGAGCCAAGGUUGCGUUGUUGGUGAUCUCGGUUUAAGAGAGGAGGUUCCUGUGAUGUGUUUGGGUUAUGGAAUUGCGUUUUGAGGUAUUUUCUGGCUGAAAUUGAGGGAGCUGAGCAAAAAUCUGAU
Molecule: non-coding RNA, 551 nt
Organism: Arachis ipaensis
Lineage: Eukaryota; Viridiplantae; Streptophyta; Magnoliopsida; Fabales; Fabaceae
Source: RefSeq, a predicted model, not a curated record